RNAcentral lists this ribosomal RNA (497 nucleotides) under uncultured bacterium. Its description in RNAcentral is "partial 16S ribosomal RNA". It matches the Rfam family "Bacterial small subunit ribosomal RNA", at positions 28 to 507 of the family's 1533-position model. The record is from RNAcentral.
GAUGAACGCUGGCGGCGUGCCUAAUACAUGCAAGUCGAGCGAACAGAUAAGGAGCUUGCUCCUUUGACGUUAGCGGCGGACGGGUGAGUAACACGUGGGUAACCUACCUAUAAGACUGGAAUAACUCCGGGAAACCGGGGCUAAUGCCGGAUAACAUGUUGAACCGCAUGGUUCUACAGUGAAAGGCGGCUUUGCUGUCACUUAUAGAUGGACCCGCGCCGUAUUAGCUAGUUGGUGAGGUAACGGCUCACCAAGGCAACGAUACGUAGCCGACCUGAGAGGGUGAUCGGCCACACUGGAACUGAGACACGGUCCAGACUCCUACGGGAGGCAGCAGUAGGGGAUCUUCCGCAAUGGGCGAAAGCCUGACGGAGCAACGCCGCGUGAGUGAUGAAGGUCUUCGGAUCGUAAAACUCUGUUAUUAGGGAAGAACAAAUGCGUAAGUAACUGUGCGCGUCUUGACGGUACCUAAUCAGAAAGCCACGGCUAACUACGUG